GACGGACCAUCCAAACGUUAUUCGGAAUUACUGGGCUUAAAGGGUGCGUAGGCGGCGCGGAAAGUUCGGUGUGAAAUCCCUCGGCUUAACCGAGGAAUGGCGCUGAAAACUACCGUGCUCGAGGAAGACAGAGGUAAGCGGAACAUCGGGUGGAGCGGUGAAAUGCGUUGAUAUCCGAUGGAACACCGGUGGCGAAAGCGGCUUACUGGGUCUUUUCUGACGCUGAGGCACGAAAGCUAGGGUAGCGAACGGG
This 253-nucleotide ribosomal RNA is filed under the name uncultured bacterium. Its description in RNAcentral is "partial 16S ribosomal RNA". It matches the Rfam family "Bacterial small subunit ribosomal RNA", at positions 524 to 776 of the family's 1533-position model. The record is from RNAcentral.